This 405-nucleotide ribosomal RNA is filed under the name uncultured bacterium. Its description in RNAcentral is "bacterial SSU rRNA". It matches the Rfam family "Bacterial small subunit ribosomal RNA", at positions 355 to 776 of the family's 1533-position model. The record is from RNAcentral.
UGGGGAAUAUUGGACAAUGGGCGCAAGCCUGAUCCAGCAAUGCCGCGUGCGUGAUGAAGGCCUUCGGGUUGUAAAGCGCUUUUCCCUGUGACGAUGAUGACGGUAACAGGGGAAUAAGCCCCGGCUAACUUCGUGCCAGCAGCCGCGGUAAUACGAAGGGGGCUAGCGUUGUUCGGAAUGACUGGGCGUAAAGGGCGCGUAGGCGGUUCUUCAAGUCAGGCAGUGAAAGCCCCGGGCUCAACCCGGGAAUUGCGCUUGAGACUGGAGAGCUUGAGUGCGGGAGAGGAUGGUGGAAUUCCCAGUGUAGAGGUGAAAUUCGUAGAUAUUGGGAAGAACACCGGUGGCGAAGGCGACCAUCUGGACCGCAACUGACGCUGAGGCGCGAAAGCGUGGGGAGCAAACAGG